This 2918-nucleotide ribosomal RNA is filed under the name Pseudomonas syringae. RNAcentral's name for it is "23S ribosomal RNA". It matches the Rfam family "Bacterial large subunit ribosomal RNA". The record is from RNAcentral. Lineage: Bacteria; Pseudomonadati; Pseudomonadota; Gammaproteobacteria; Pseudomonadales; Pseudomonadaceae.
GUUAUAUGGUCAAGUGAAGAAGCGCAUACGGUGGAUGCCUUGGCAGUCAGAGGCGAUGAAAGACGUGGUAGCCUGCGAAAAGCUUCGGGGAGUCGGCAAACAGACUGUGAUCCGGAGAUGUCUGAAUGGGGGAACCCAGCCAUCAUAAGAUGGUUAUCUUGUACUGAAUACAUAGGUGCAAGAGGCGAACCAGGGGAACUGAAACAUCUAAGUACCCUGAGGAAAAGAAAUCAACCGAGAUUCCCUUAGUAGUGGCGAGCGAACGGGGACCAGCCCUUAAGUUGUAUUGAGAUUAGCGGAACACUCUGGAAAGGGUGGCCAUAGUGGGUGAUAGCCCUGUACGCGAAAAUCCCUUUGCAAUGAAAUCGAGUAGGACGGGGCACGAGAAACCUUGUCUGAAUAUGGGGGGACCAUCCUCCAAGGCUAAAUACUACUGACUGACCGAUAGUGAACCAGUACCGUGAGGGAAAGGCGAAAAGAACCGCGGAGAGCGGAGUGAAAUAGAUCCUGAAACCGUAUGCGUACAAGCAGUGGGAGCCCACUUUGUUGGGUGACUGCGUACCUUUUGUAUAAUGGGUCAGCGACUUAUUUUCAGUGGCGAGCUUAACCGAAUAGGGGAGGCGUAGCGAAAGCGAGUCUUAAUAGGGCGUCUAGUCGCUGGGAAUAGACCCGAAACCGGGCGAUCUAUCCAUGGGCAGGUUGAAGGUUGGGUAACACUAACUGGAGGACCGAACCGACUACCGUUGAAAAGUUAGCGGAUGACCUGUGGAUCGGAGUGAAAGGCUAAUCAAGCUCGGAGAUAGCUGGUUCUCCUCGAAAGCUAUUUAGGUAGCGCCUCAUGUAUCACUGUAGGGGGUAGAGCACUGUUUCGGCUAGGGGGUCAUCCCGACUUACCAAACCGAUGCAAACUCCGAAUACCUACAAGUGCCGAGCAUGGGAGACACACGGCGGGUGCUAACGUCCGUCGUGAAAAGGGAAACAACCCAGACCGUCAGCUAAGGUCCCAAAGUCAUGGUUAAGUGGGAAACGAUGUGGGAAGGCUUAGACAGCUAGGAGGUUGGCUUAGAAGCAGCCACCCUUUAAAGAAAGCGUAAUAGCUCACUAGUCGAGUCGGCCUGCGCGGAAGAUGUAACGGGGCUCAAACCAUGCACCGAAGCUACGGGUAUCAUCUUAUGAUGAUGCGGUAGAGGAGCGUUCUGUAAGCCUGUGAAGGUGAGUUGAGAAGCUUGCUGGAGGUAUCAGAAGUGCGAAUGCUGACAUGAGUAACGACAAUGGGUGUGAAAAACACCCACGCCGAAAGACCAAGGUUUCCUGCGCAACGUUAAUCGACGCAGGGUUAGUCGGUCCCUAAGGCGAGGCUGAAAAGCGUAGUCGAUGGAAAACAGGUUAAUAUUCCUGUACUUCUGGUUAUUGCGAUGGAGGGACGGAGAAGGCUAGGCCAGCCUGGCGUUGGUUGUCCAGGUUUAAGGUGGUAGGCUGAGAUCUUAGGUAAAUCCGGGAUCUUAAGGCCGAGAGCUGAUGACGAGUGUUCUUUUAGAACACGAAGUGGUUGAUGCCAUGCUUCCAAGAAAAGCUUCUAAGCUUCAGGUAACCAGGAACCGUACCCCAAACCGACACAGGUGGUUGGGUAGAGAAUACCAAGGCGCUUGAGAGAACUCGGGUGAAGGAACUAGGCAAAAUGGCACCGUAACUUCGGGAGAAGGUGCGCCGGUGGAGGUGAAGCAUUUACUGCGUAAGCCCCUGCCGGUCGAAGAUACCAGGCCGCUGCGACUGUUUAUUAAAAACACAGCACUCUGCAAACACGAAAGUGGACGUAUAGGGUGUGACGCCUGCCCGGUGCCGGAAGGUUAAUUGAUGGGGUUAGCGCAAGCGAAGCUCUUGAUCGAAGCCCCGGUAAACGGCGGCCGUAACUAUAACGGUCCUAAGGUAGCGAAAUUCCUUGUCGGGUAAGUUCCGACCUGCACGAAUGGCGUAACGAUGGCGGCGCUGUCUCCACCCGAGACUCAGUGAAAUUGAAAUCGCUGUGAAGAUGCAGUGUAUCCGCGGCUAGACGGAAAGACCCCGUGAACCUUUACUAUAGCUUUGCACUGGACUUUGAAUUUGCUUGUGUAGGAUAGGUGGGAGGCUUUGAAGCGUGGACGCCAGUCUGCGUGGAGCCAACCUUGAAAUACCACCCUGGCAACUUUGAGGUUCUAACUCAGGUCCGUUAUCCGGAUCGAGGACAGUGUAUGGUGGGUAGUUUGACUGGGGCGGUCUCCUCCUAAAGAGUAACGGAGGAGUACGAAGGUGCGCUCAGACCGGUCGGAAAUCGGUCGUAGAGUAUAAAGGCAAAAGCGCGCUUGACUGCGAGACAGACACGUCGAGCAGGUACGAAAGUAGGUCUUAGUGAUCCGGUGGUUCUGUAUGGAAGGGCCAUCGCUCAACGGAUAAAAGGUACUCCGGGGAUAACAGGCUGAUACCGCCCAAGAGUUCAUAUCGACGGCGGUGUUUGGCACCUCGAUGUCGGCUCAUCACAUCCUGGGGCUGAAGCCGGUCCCAAGGGUAUGGCUGUUCGCCAUUUAAAGUGGUACGCGAGCUGGGUUUAGAACGUCGUGAGACAGUUCGGUCCCUAUCUGCCGUGGACGUUUGAGAUUUGAGAGGGGCUGCUCCUAGUACGAGAGGACCGGAGUGGACGAACCUCUGGUGUUCCGGUUGUCACGCCAGUGGCAUUGCCGGGUAGCUAUGUUCGGAAAAGAUAACCGCUGAAAGCAUCUAAGCGGGAAACUUGCCUCAAGAUGAGAUCUCACUGGAACCUUGAGUUCCCUGAAGGGCCGUCGAAGACUACGACGUUGAUAGGUUGGGUGUGUAAGCGCUGUGAGGCGUUGAGCUAACCAAUACUAAUUGCCCGUGAGGCUUGACCAUAUAACACCCAAGCAAUU